This 3221-nucleotide small RNA is filed under the name Pan troglodytes (chimpanzee). Its description in RNAcentral is "processed transcript". The record is from RNAcentral. Lineage: Eukaryota; Metazoa; Chordata; Mammalia; Primates; Hominidae.
CCGAAGCAGCCCCUUUCUCAGGCUUUCUGUCACCAGUCUGUCUGUGUUAGGGGAGAGGGGAGUCUGCUCUGUCCUGAAGGCCCAGAGAUGGAAGGACAAGUGGUAGGCCGGGUGUUCAGGCUCUUCCAACGCCGACUGCUUCAACUCCGAGCAGGACCACCCCAGGACAAUUCAGGGGAAGCUUUAAAGGAACCAGAAAGGGCCCAGGAGCACUCUUUGCCCAACUUUGCUGGGGGGCAGCACUUCUUUGAAUACCUUCUUGUGGUUUCUCUCAAAAAGAAGCGUUCAGAGGAUGAUUACGAGCCUAUAAUCACCUACCAAUUUCCCAAGCGGGAGAACCUGCUUCGGGGUCAGCAGGAGGAGGAGGAGCGGCUGCUCAAAGCUAUCCCCUUGUUCUGCUUCCCAGAUGGGAAUGAGUGGGCAUCACUCACCGAGUAUCCCAGGGAGACCUUCUCCUUCGUUCUGACCAAUGUGGAUGGGAGCAGAAAGAUUGGAUACUGCAGGCGCCUCUUGGUCUGUGCAGCUCAGAACUGCCCCUUCCUUUCUGCAGUCUGCUCAGCUCCACGGCUGGGCUUGCUCAAGCCUGAGCUGCAAAACUCCAGGCUUAUUGGCAGCACUGGUUGUAGAAAAAGCACAGCCCAGGACCUGCUGCCAUGCUAGUGCUCCCUCUGCAGCCCCACAAGCACAAGGACCUGAUGCCCCUUCUCCCCCUGCUGGUCAGGCUCUGGUCUGUGCUCUCUCCGGCUUUCAAUACAACGAACUCCUCUCCCUGCCUGCUCUAUCCAGGCCUGCUUACCUUGGCCCCUGGAGCCUCCCAGAGCAGAGGCUGGGACUUGGACAAUUAGUUUCAAAUCUUAGGUCUCAGGAGGAUUCCCCAAGUCACCUUUACAGUGCUUUCCUCCUUAGCCAUUUCUUCAUCUCUAAGGCACACUUGCUACCCCUCUUUGCUGACCCCAGAUUGUGCUGGCACUGAAGGUGGCAGCGCUUGCCCACCAACUCACCCAGUACCCUCAAGGAUUUCUUCUUUUGAUGCUGGUGGCCAUUCUGACCUCCCUGCUGCACCCACCAUUCCCCAUAAAUCCCCCUCCCCAGCCCUCAGCCUUGUGCUCCUUCAUACCCAGUUGGCAGAAGCCCUUGGGGAGGCUGCAGCACUGAAGGAGCCUCUCUGUCCCUCCCCAGCCUGCCGGCCCUGGCCCUCGCCUUCCCAAAGUGUACUGCAUCAUCAGCUGCAUCGGCUGCUUCGGCUUGUUCUCCAAGGUAGGGAUAGAACAGGAUUCCUCAGGGCCUGUUUGUCCUGCCCAUAUUCCAGGCUGUCUCUGGCUGCCAACCCUGCCUGUGCAACUAAGCUCUUAGUGGAGCUCUUCUCCCAUAGCCAGAGUCAGCAUUAAAGCACACUUGGGAAAACUGAGGCAAAGGGGCAUGCACUUGACUUAAGGGAAAAGUGGAAAUUGAAUCUAGGGGACUGGACCUCUUGCAGAGACAGCUACUGUUCCCACUCUAGCCAAGUAAGAAAGUAGUUGAAGUAGGACAAGCAGAAGAAACUUCUGCCCUGAGUUUCAAUUUCCUCAUCCAUCGAAUGGAUAUAAUAAUCUCACCUUCCUAUCUCACUGGGUGGCGUGAGGCUUAAAUGAGGUGAUAUAUGAGAAGACUCUUUAUAAAAGGCAGAGCACUAAACAAAUGUGAAGGAGUUAUAAGACCCAUUCUGACUCCUUCAAGGGUAGAAGAACAGUUGAGGUCCCCAGGACUUCUCUUGGAGCUAAUUUGAGUGCCAGUGCAUCUGAGACAGAAUUUGAGCAGAAUCCAUGGGGCCCAUGCCAUCCACUGGUGACCAGAAAGGACUUCAUUAUGCUCUGACCCCAGCAGGACCUUUGGAGGAGGAGGGGAGGAAACUCUGUCAGCUUUUGCUUGGGCAGAGCAUUCCUUUGUGCAGUGCUCCUAGGGAUGGAGGCAGUCUCUGACCUCGGGAAUCUACAGUGGGAGUUGGAGGACAGAGUGGUACCAAGAGGCUUAGGCUUCUAGCCUCCUGCUCCAACCAGCAUGAGUGGACAUGGUACCAUCAUGGGUGAUGAGUUUACUCCGGGAUGACUUCCCAGGGAGGUGCUUUUAUGUUGGUGUUAGGAGAGGGGAAGAAUAUGGAUUUGUAGAGAGAUAAUAAAAAGGAAGCUGGAAAAAGGCAGGUCUUAUGUGGGAGAUAAACUGCAGAUUAUUUAGCAUGAGCCCAGCCUCUGCCAGGGAGGGAGAGGACCAGUUCGUGGAGGGCCCUAGAAGAUACAUGAGGAUCAGCUGAACCAGUAUGAGAACAUUAUGACGCUCAGGGGUAAGUAGAGUCUCUUCCACCUGCCUGGUAUUGUCCCUUUGAGCCGUGCCUCCCGUGGUUCUUUUCCCUGCAGAUCCUGGAUGAAGUGGAGAAGAGACAUCAGAUCUCCAUGGCUGUCAUCUACCCGUUCAUGCAGGGCCUCCGAGAGGCAGCCUUCCCUGCUCCUGGGAAGACUGUCACUCUCAAGAGCUUCAUCCCCGACUCAGGCACUGAGGUUAAAGUACAGAGAAACUGAGCCAGAUGGGGACUGGGACUUGGUUAGAAUGGACAAAGCUGAAAUCAAACCCAGAUUUUCUGAUCCUUCUAACUUGAUACCCACAAGCACCUAGUUACUGCUCAAGCCACCAAGACUUUUAUUUAUAAUAAAUAAAACAUGUAAGUUGAGGCUUCUGGUGCUAUAAAGGACUUUUCCCUCAGCCCUCAGACUGCCACUUGCCCCUACACCCCUUCCACUCUCCUUUGUUUGUCCUGUCUCUACCUUACAGCGUCCAUCUGUCCAUUUCUUAUCAUCCAUCCCCACCUCCGAGUCUCCACCCAUGCACAGGGGAAUGCUAUUGUUUUAAGGCACCAAGCACACUGAGGCAGCAGGUAGAACACUGUUCUAAGAAUUCCAGUCCUGACCUCUGGAACUCUGAAUAGUCUGUGUGCCCCUUUGAACCUUGGCUUCCCCACAGGAAAAUAAGGGGAGAGGCUAGAAAUUUUCACUUUCUCAAAAAAUAAGUGCUUAAUGCUGGCUGUGUGCCAAGCUAUACUAUUUUCUGGGAAUACAGUGGUGACCAAAAUGAAUGUGGUCCCUGACCUUUUGGAGCUGUGAGUCCAGUGGGGAGAAUAGAUGUUAAAUAAACACACCAGUGCAUGUUGAAUUAGAAAUUAUGUAACUGUGAUGAAAGAAAAAAAAACAAAA